This 1504-nucleotide long non-coding RNA is filed under the name Struthio camelus australis. Its description in RNAcentral is "lncRNA (ENSSCUG00000012493.1)". Lineage: Eukaryota; Metazoa; Chordata; Aves; Struthioniformes; Struthionidae. The record is from RNAcentral.
GACUUUCUUUGCUGGCUUGGGGUCCUGGAAGCCUUUUCGCAGUACAAACUCCCUUCUGUCCCCUCUUGCUACGAUCCUACGGUGUGCAGGUAGCUCUAUACUAGUAAAUAAUGCAGGGCUGAGGGAUGGGCUCUGGCACUGGCCCAAGAUUACCCACCGGGUUUUGGUGUCAGCAUGCACCUGGCAUACUGGAGCCGUGCCAGACCGAGCUCUUCCACAUCAUGCCUGUGCAUGCUGUGGAGAUUUCAUGUGGCAGAUGCGGCUAUUUCGACAUGGCUACUCUGCUUUGGAAGAAAGUAAAUUUUGCCCUUGUGGACACGUGUUAUUAUGCCAUGCCAGUUGGCCUCAGAGUAAAGAACAGUCUCCUGAACUGUUUUACUGAAUAUUAUAGAUAUGCCACAAAAUCCCGUGGAACCCAUACAUAAGGCUGCUCUUCUUUGCUUUAACAUUGUGCUGCGUAAAGAGAGGAGCACACCCAGCUGGGCGAAAGAAAUACAGUACACGGUCUCUCUGCAGGUCUUCUCACUUCUGAUAGUUGGAACAGAGAAGAAAUUCAAGCGGUGUUAUCUCCGAUCUGAGACAGAAACGGGGAGAGGAAUAAAGAAGAAGUCACAAAGAGACUAAGAAUGGGACACAAAAUUAGCAGAUUUUGGAGAUUCUUUCUGCCACCGUUACGAUGUAAAUGAGGAGAGCUGCUCCCACUACUUAAUAAUGAUUUUGAAUUGGCUUUGGGUUUGAGCUGGAAAAUUAAGACAUCCUCAAUACUAAGAGAAGGAGCUUUAGGAGGGAGAAAUGCUGUCACCUACCACAGGUGCCUCUGCAUUGCUUGCAGGCCUCCACCGCCCCCAUCUUCCCUACAGACUAUCAAAGGAAUUAGGAUUUGGAAGGAUGGAUGCACAGAGCACCUAACGUUUAAAUCUUUACGCAGCUUUUACUCCCAGUCAGGAGACCAACAGCAAGCCCAGGCACUGAAAUCUCCUGCCUCCUAUUUGCUCACGUCCCCUCCUUGUCAAGUGGUAGGAAAGACCCAGGUCAAAGUCUUACAGGACUGUGGUAAGCGGUGUGUGACCCCAUCCCCAGGGACACUCAUUUUGUACCCUGUUUCACUGCAGAAGUCCCCUGGCUGUGGGUUUUUUGUUUUUUUUUUUUGGCGGGGGCAGGGGGGAGAGGGGCAGGUUUGGGCCCAAAGAAAUUACAUUCUCUCAUUGUUUGACACACGGGUAAAGGAAAAGCAUGGAAAACAUCAGCCCACUUUUUUAUGCUACACCAAAAAGGAUGAAGCAGAUGUUUUUAAGUAAACAUGGGCUCUUGUUAUGCAUUUUUGAGAAGUCAAGAGAAGCUUUUUCAGAAGCAGGAGUAGCCCAUGAAUUUAAAGGAGUUUUAAAUACUGUACUUUCCCAUAAAGCUAUAAAACUCUGGCAGAAAGCUCAGCAGCCAAUCAAUGAGGAAUGAACCUGAGCAUGUUAUAACUCAGAUUACCAAUAAAAAUGUCAGGCUGAAAUCA